Phragmites australis (common reed) is the source of this 2181-nucleotide long non-coding RNA. RefSeq lists it as uncharacterized. The transcript has 6 exons. The record is from RefSeq and is a predicted model, not a curated record. Lineage: Eukaryota; Viridiplantae; Streptophyta; Magnoliopsida; Poales; Poaceae.
UAAAAAAAGCAGUAAGGGGUCUUCUUCAGCUAAGCAUAUUCCUCUGCUUUCUCUGUGAUUCCUCCUCAUUGCGUCCCGGUUUUGCUCUGGAUUUUUCGCUUCCAUCCUUCAUCGCCUGCUCCAGUUCCGCUCCCUUCCCCGUUUCCUAAGAGAUACGUUGGUGGAAGUGUUCUGCCUCCCCCUCCCGCUCCUCCUCCACCGCCUCCACACUCACGUCACCUGCGCGCGCCUCCACCUCCCGAGUUAUCGGCGGCGGCAGCUCUAACCCUGCCGCGAUGAAGGUGGGGAGCCGCGGCUAAUCAGGGCACGGUGGAUGCGCUACGUCGUCGAUGACCUCGAGGUCGGGGUCUCCGUGCUGGCUUGAUGCUCGGGCUAUGAGGGACGCGUCGGCUGGGUUUGCACUCAUGACGGUGAGCUCAACGCUGAUCUCUAGAUCGCCAAGUGACAUGGAGGUGGCGCCAGCGAGGUCGUCGUGGACGCACCUACUGCUGCUGCACCCGCUGCCGCUGCCGGGCGAGGGGGAAUGGCGUGCCGUGGGUCCGGGAGGUCGCUUCCAUUGCCGACGCCGAGGAUGGUCGACAGGGACUGGAACGUGCCAGCAGCGGAAGCGCCCAGGGUUUUAGAGACAGUGGGCAAAAGGAUGUCGUCGUUGCUCACGCGAGUUAUUGAUUUGGACAUAUAUCAUGAUGAGGUAGCUGUCGGGGUGCGCCCUCGACGAGGGCACAUAUGAGGCUCGCGGUGCCUGCGCUGGCGCGUGUAGGAAGGAUCGACGCCGCCCGCAAGAUGUUUGGUGAAAUGAAGCAGAGAGAGGGAGUCAGGCACGCGCUAACGGGGGUGUAUUCCGUGAUGGUAGACGUGCUGGUAAGGCAGGGAGGCUCGACGCGGCCAUGGGGAUGUACAGAGAGAUGGUGGUCGUGGGCCAUCGGGCGAGCACAACAGUGAGCACCGCCAUGGUGGAGGGACUGGUGAGGUCUAGGAAGUGUAACUCAUUUCAAGACCUAACAAAUACAUGGUGCAAUGUGAUCAGCCAUUGCAUGGAAGUCAUCCUGAACAUAAAAAGCAAAGGGGUCAAGGGUGAUAUGGCUGAAUGUCUGAACAACAGAAAACAGAGUACCUAAAGAAGCAGCGUGAGGCGGGCUCGCCAACAAAAGUGAUGUUUCCCAGCUAACUCUAUUGAUCCUGAACAUCCUUAAUCAUCCACGCCACUUGUGUCACCUGGCAUCUCGAGGUUUGCUACAAAACCUAACGUUCAAGGAUGUUCUUCUGUAGUAGGCAGCCCGGUCCUACCGCGGCAAAUGCGUGUACCUCUGGGCAAUAUUUCAAAUGUUUAUUCAACUCCACAGUCGAAUGUCAAACAAGGCAUAUCGAUGCUUGCUUUGGGCUCCGCAAUUCAAUCAUGUUCCUCUCCAUUCGGAGUUAUAUUAGGCAUGAAUUCUGUGGGUACACAAUACAAUUGGAGCACUUUUAGGCAAUGUACCCCUGAUGUUCAGAUGGUCCCAACUCAACAAUCUCUCAUCUGUAGUCCAGGCUUGAUUUCAAUGGAUACCCAGAUGUGCAAGUGGUACUGCCACAAUAGUCUCAUACCUCUCCAAACAUGCCAAGCACUGUCAAUGUCGGUACUUAGGGGUAUAACUCCCCUGGGACUGCUAUUCAAGGUUCGAACUAUGUUAGGAACUUGCUUGCAAGCUUCCAGACUGGUGGUGUUUGGUUAUGUUUUUGGUAUAGUUAAUGUACUUUACAGGAAUUAUGCACACUUCAUAGGUGGUGUUCUUGUACAUAAAUAUUUCUAUGAUGUUAUUGUGAAGAUGCUAUUUUUGUUAUAUUUAUGGUAGAUAAGAAAUCAAGAGUCAUGGUAUUGUCCUAAUGUUAGACCUUAGACAUCGUAGAGCACUAUUGCAUUAUGAAUUAAGUAUUACUUCAGGAUCAAGUUAGGAUCCACAACCGAGUGCUACCACUACUUCCUCGCAGCAGCAGGGUAAGUUUUUAAUAAAAAUGGCUCCGCUCCCUCCUCAGAGAUAAAGUCUUCGUGUUGAUUCCAUUAACAAGCUCAAGGAAUGCCUUGUGUUUGUCUGCUUAUUUGCAACCAACAACCAGAAUCAAUUCACUGGCGUGCAAACUUACGCACCAGUGCAAUCUCUGUGGCCAACAACUAGCCCUGCCACCGCUGCCCUGUCAUUGUUC